UACGUAGGGUGCAAGCGUUGUCCGGAAUUAUUGGGCGUAAAGAGCUCGUAGGCGGUUUGUCGCGUCUGCUGUGAAAACCUAAGGCUCAACCUUGGGCUUGCAGUGGGUACGGGCAGACUAGAGUGCGGUAGGGGUGACUGGAAUUCCUGGUGUAGCGGUGGAAUGCGCAGAUAUCAGGAGGAACACCGAUGGCGAAGGCAGGUCACUGGGCCGCAACUGACGCUGGAGGAGCGAAAGCCGUGGGGAGC
RNAcentral lists this ribosomal RNA (248 nucleotides) under uncultured bacterium. RNAcentral's name for it is "partial 16S ribosomal RNA". It matches the Rfam family "Bacterial small subunit ribosomal RNA", at positions 524 to 769 of the family's 1533-position model. The record is from RNAcentral.